AACGAACGCUGGCGGCAGGCUUAACACAUGCAAGUCGAACGCGUGCAGCAAUGCACGAGUGGCGCACGGGUGAGUAACGCGUGGAUAUCUGCCUUUUUGUUCGGAAUAACCCCGGGAAACUGGGGCUAAUACCGGAUGGUUCCUACGGGAUAAAGAUUUAUCGCCAAAAGAUGAGUCCGCGUCCGAUUAGCUAGUUGGUGAGGUAAUGGCUCACCAAGGCGACGAUCGGUAGCUGGUCUGAGAGGACGAUCAGCCACACUGGGACUGAGACACGGCCCAGACUCCUACGGGAGGCAGCAGUGGGGAAUAUUGGACAAUGGGGGCAACCCUGAUCCAGCCAUGCCGCGUGAGUGAUGAAGGCCUUCGGGUUGUAAAGCUCUUUUGGCGGGGACGAUGAUGACGGUACCCGCAGAAUAAGCCCCGGCUAACUUCGUG
This 435-nucleotide ribosomal RNA is filed under the name uncultured bacterium. RNAcentral's name for it is "partial 16S ribosomal RNA". It matches the Rfam family "Bacterial small subunit ribosomal RNA", at positions 29 to 507 of the family's 1533-position model. The record is from RNAcentral.